UUGAUGGGUUUCUCUUUGUAAUCCUCCAAAUCAUAUACUUUGACACUCGAUAUAUAUCAAUAAAGGCAUUGUAUUUCAUCAUUUGCUGCUUAUCUAUUUUAUUAUUGGAUGAUGAACCCCAUAAAUUAGGACAUUGGUUUUAGGGUUAUGAUGAGAUCAUACCAGUGAGACCUAAAAUCCUAAAAUCCUAAUUUAGAAUAUUCCCUAUCAAAUUGGUAUAUUGAGUCGGGGAUCAAUAUUACUGGAAGGACUGACACAUCUUAUGUAUGCUCGAUGUAGAGGGUGAUUGAUCUCACAAUCACUUGUGUGAGACACUAAUACAAAGAUGUGGGUGCUCAUUAGAGGAAUGAGUUCACUGAAAUGACCAGCCAUGAGAACAUCUUAUGGAUUCUUACUUCAUUGUCAAAAGAUGGUUCUCAUAGUGGAAGUUGUGCAAGUGAUCCUUAGACCUGAGAUCACCAUGGUACCUUGUGCACUUGAACCUAUAUUUUGGUUUACCCUCAUUCACGACAUUGCGUUGGGUACAGGUAUUCUGGAUAUGGUGGAUUUUGUACGAAGGUUGUGAGUAGGUCAAUAAGGAAUCAGUCACUUCUAGUAAGAGAAGGCAACAUCCUACUUACUCUAAUCUU
This 629-nucleotide long non-coding RNA is filed under the name Phoenix dactylifera (date palm). RNAcentral's name for it is "long non-coding RNA (PDAC_LNC009477)". Lineage: Eukaryota; Viridiplantae; Streptophyta; Magnoliopsida; Arecales; Arecaceae. The record is from RNAcentral.